UGGGGAAUAUUGCACAAUGGAGGGAACUCUGAUGCAGCGACGCCGCGUGAACGAAGAAGGCUUUCGAGUCGUAAAGUUCUUUUAUAUGGGAAGAUAAUGACGGUACCAUAAGAAAAAGCCCCGGCUAACUACGUGCCAGCAGCCGCGGUAAUACGUAGGGGGCUAGCGUUGUCCGGAAUCACUGGGCGUAAAGGGUUCGCAGGCGGAAAUGCAAGUCAGGUGUAAAAGGCAGUAGCUUAACUACUGUAAGCAUUUGAAACUGCAUAUCUGGAGAAGAGUAGAGGUAAGUGGAAUUUUUAGUGUAGCGGUGAAAUGCGUAGAUAUUAAAAAGAAUACCGGUGGCGAAGGCGGCUUACUGGGCUCAUUCUGACGCUGAGGAACGAAAGCGUGGGUAGCAAACAGG
RNAcentral lists this ribosomal RNA (403 nucleotides) under bacterium. RNAcentral's name for it is "partial 16S ribosomal RNA". It matches the Rfam family "Bacterial small subunit ribosomal RNA", at positions 355 to 776 of the family's 1533-position model. The record is from RNAcentral.